CAUGUGCCCAACCACCCUUUCUUCCCAGGCUGAAGGAGCACAAGGACCAAGGGGGAUUUAUACUGCUGCAGAAGCGAUACAAGAAUGAGCUGCCACAGCCUGGAGUAUUUUCUGGCUGAUGUUUUCUGAUAUGGGUCUCCCACAGCAGAGCAGUGCCCUUCCUGGCACUUUGCUGAUGAUUCUCCACCUAUCAUGGAAGCCUUGGAACGAGCACUCACUCUUCUGCCGCCUGACCCUGGGAUCUGGAAGGAAAUGAAGAGCCCAGAGGACAGAUCUGGUAGGGGCACUGGUCCCCCCUUGCUGACCUGGGACCACCUCUGCACCCCUGGCCCUGCCAGGGAGUGCCCCUGACCUGGAGCUACUCCAGGGCUGGGCUACUGGCCUGUGAGGCACCAGGUGCCACAGGAGUGUGACAUGCCCCUCACGAUGAAUGGAGCUUCAACCACUGUGUCCCUUCCACCGCCUGCCCAAGGAAGGACCACAGGAACUGGUGUCAAGCUCCAGGGUGCAGCCAGGGCACGGCUAAGCAUGUCACAAGUGCCAAGAGGGAAGUGACUCACUCACCUGGGAGCCAGCACAACGCCCUCUUCCUGUCGGAGCCUCUUCCCAGGCAGGAGCAUACUGACGGCUCAGCCCUGCUGGUGUCUCCACUUGCGGCAGGGAUCUGGCGGGCUGGGGUCUGUGACUGAGCUGGAGCAGGGGCUCUGUGACCCGAGGUGACUCUGCAGUCAUGCUGCAAUUGCUCUCAUUCUGGUGCCCUGUUCUUAAGAGCUGCCAGUGUGGAGACUGUCCAGCCCCGGGGCAGGGAAAAUAACAUCUGGGAGACAGCCAAGCAUCCUCAGUGAAACCCCCACCGCUACUAAGGCUGAAGAUGGACAUAUUGUGCUGAAUUUUUUCAACUCUGGACACUGGCAUUGGAACAGCACAGCCUCCUCAUGCAAAGAUAGGUGAGCUCUACCAGGUGCUGCUGGGGCCAGGAGAUGGCACUACCCUCUCCUGCGGGCCACCUUUGCCAGAGAUUUCAGCAGACUGGAAGCAGUCACGGAGCAUGUUCUCGCACUCACCUCUCC
Long non-coding RNA from Corvus hawaiiensis (hawaiian crow), 1070 nucleotides. RefSeq lists it as uncharacterized. The transcript is spliced from 3 exons. The record is from RefSeq and is a predicted model, not a curated record. Lineage: Eukaryota; Metazoa; Chordata; Aves; Passeriformes; Corvidae.